AGAUGCAUCUGCAAUCUACACCACAGCUCAUGGCAAUGCUGGAUCCUUAAUCAAUGAGAGAGUAAUCCGAGAUGCUGCUUCCUAUCUGUGAAACCUUCCCAAUAUGGCAGACUCUGCUGGAUCCCUCGCUAUGAAGAAAAGAUGCCACCUUGUGGAAAGACACAAUAACACAACAAGAAAACAACAGGAAAAAGUUGGCCUCCUGAGCAACCUCCUAUACAAGGUCAGUGUGUUAAGUGCUUUACCAUGUAGACUUCUCGUUUAAUUCUCAAAUGUUGGAAGUGAAGUGUUAUUGUACCCCUUUUACAGAUAAGGAAACUGAGGCUCACCAAAACUAAAUAAUUGGCUAAAGAACAGGAAGGUGAAAAGCAGAGAAAUAUGUUUUUCUGAUGCCAAAGCCCUUACUCAUUCUUUCCUACAUCAUGCUUCCAGAAUGAAUUAUGUAAACAGAAGGGGACAGCCAUUGUUCAAAAAAUACUCUUUUGCGUUUAGAAUUCAUUUCUUGUGAUGUGAUGGAAGUCACUCCUUUAGAUUUAAGUUGAGGGUUCUGUAGGAAGGGAGGGAGGAAGACGUUUUCACGAAAAUUUUCUGGGCUGUAUUAUUUAUGGAUCUGAUUAUUGGCUUCAUUAUCUUCCCAAUGGAUGGAGAGCUUGAAUAUCUCAGUUGUUUUGAAUUUUCUUGAGAAAAAGACACUUGAAACAAUCUUCAAUCUUAAACUAAGACUCUAACCUUAAUUAAAUAAUUUGAAUAUUCUUCUAUAAAACUGAAUUCAUCUAAAACAUGUCCUUUCAGCCUAUGUAUUUGACAUGAGUUUUUCCAGUUUGUUAAUUAAUAUGACACAUUUUUGGUAUGAUUCCUCUGUCUUUCCAGCCUGAUUGGGCACUGAAUCUUAUUAAAAUGAAUCAGCAUUUCUCUGAGUGGACAUUGGGUCUAAAGGAUCCGAAGCAGAAUUGGGCCUUGGUGAUUAAAUAGUAUGUUAGAUGCUAUCUGGUUUUUUUUUUUAUGAUUUUAUGAGUGUAUUAACUUAUCAUCUGCACUGGCAGUGACCUUCAAGGAAAGAAUGUAAAAUACACAAGAAAUUCUGGUUAUUUGAGAAAUAGUGAAGUGAUGACAGAUGGAUAAUGAAUAAAUGGUUAUUACAGAUCAUCGAGUACCCAGGUUGACUUAGGACAUGAAUAAUAGGGGAGGAGAAGAGGAGAAAGUGAAGGAGCAAGCUCCCUGAGAAUGUGGAAGGAGAAAGAACCCCAGGCACAGACGGCUGAACUAGUUUUUGACAGACUAUGAAGCCAAGCUAAGGACUUAAUCUAAUUGUGUCCUGUUACAAGGAGAACAGAUCCUUACUGAAUUUAUGUAAGUACAUAUAUUAUCAUAAAAAACUAGAACAUCUUAAUUAGGGUUUCUGAAUUUUGGAGGGAUUAGGUAGGGAGAAAAAAAAGUUUCAACUUUUGUGUACAAAAACUAUAUCCAUUUGCUAUAAAUUAUAGAUAACUUAAAAGAGAGGAUAAAAAGGGAUCCUUUAAAUCUAGAAGAUAAAACAUUAAAGAAUCAGCAAUGUUUUAAAUGAAGGCAUAAAAAUUAGAAUAAUUUUCAUCAGUUUAUCUAGUCUCAUGUAAUUAAUUCUUAUUUUAUUUAACAUGGGUUGUCAGCUUUAUGACUCUAUCAAUUUUUUAGUAGAGUUUUAGAAAUUCUUACCCAGUAGAGUAUUAUGAUCUUAAAGUUAUCAGAAACUUGUAUUGUAUUGUACUUGUCAGUGACUUUUCCAUGAUUCUCUUUGAAGACAAAGCAUUUCUACCUGUAGUUGAUUUGUUAAUGCUUUCAGAGAAGAAAAAGUAAAACAAUGUCUAUGAGUGACAGCGAUUUAAAUAAGCUACAGUUAAAGAGCUGGUGAAAGUACACACACACACACACACACACACACAAAUGUAAUUGAAAAGCAAAUUGUUAUUUUUAAAAUAUACAGUAUUGUAAAGUAACUGGAUUUAUGACAGAUAAUGUUAUAUCAGGAUAUAGAUUUUUAGGAAUUCAUAUAAUUUCUGACUAAUAUUAAUGAUAUGUAUUCAUAUAAAUAUAAUCUAAGAAGGUUAAACAUAAAUUUUUAUUGGACAUUGUUUUGCAUGCAACUUAACAUGUAUAUUCUUUUUCAGAUUCUUUUCCAUUGUAAGUUAUUACAAGAUAUUGAGUACCUACUGUGCUAUACAGUAGGUCCUUGUUUUUUUUAAAUCUAUUUUAUAUAUUGUAGUGCAUACCUGUUAAUCCCAAACUUCUAAAUUAUACCUCUCCCCCCUUUUAUUUCUUUUUCUAGAAUAACCAGCUAUUUUAUUUUAGACAGCAUUACUCUUUUUUCCUUCACAAAAACAUAUCCUACAUUCUGUGCAUACUCUUCAUUAAAAAAAAAAAAGCUCCAUUUGCUUCCCAUACUUUGUGCAAGUUGUCCCCCUUCACUCUUACUAUUUCUAGUAGCUUUAUAUUUACAUAUUGAUUACUAAUUUUAACUAUUAGUAAUCUUUACUUUCCAGUGAGAAAUAGGAAGCAGGCAACUAUCAGCUCUAUCAUAUAUUAGCAUCCCAUAGAAGGUCAACACAUUUAUAAAUAUAUAAUUGUAAAACAAUUUUUAGACACAUAUUUUCAUAGCACAGUUUUUUAAUGUGGCAAAAGGCUUUUUCUUCUUUUUUUUUU
Sus scrofa (pig) is the source of this 2676-nucleotide non-coding RNA. The record is from RefSeq and is a predicted model, not a curated record. Lineage: Eukaryota; Metazoa; Chordata; Mammalia; Artiodactyla; Suidae.